AGCAGCCGCGGUAAUUCCAGCUCCAAUAGCGUAUAUUAAAGUUGUUGCAGUUAAAAAGCUCGUAGUUGAAUUUCGGGGUCUGUCCGUCGGUCGGGCUUCACAGUCCGUACUGGUGUGAUGGGUUCCUACCUUCUGAAUAACCGGCAUGCCAUUCAGUUGGUGCGCCGGGGAAGCAGAGCUAUUACCUUGAAAAAAUUAGAGUGCUUAAAGCAGGCUAGUGCUUGAAUAGAUUAGCAUGGAAUAAUAAAAAUAGGACGGCAUGGUUCUAUUUUGUUGGUUUCUAGGAUCACCGUAAUGAUUAAUAGGGAUAGUUGGGGGCAUUAGUAUUCAAUUGUCAGAGGUGAAAUUCUUGGAUUUAUUGAAGACUAACUUCUGCGAAAGCAUUUGCCAAGGAUGUUUUCAUUAAUCAAGAACGAAAGUUAGGGGAUCGAAGACGAUCAGAUACCGUCGUAGUCUUAACCAUAAACUAUGCCGACUAGG
RNAcentral lists this ribosomal RNA (480 nucleotides) under uncultured Acaulospora. RNAcentral describes it as "SSU rRNA". It matches the Rfam family "Eukaryotic small subunit ribosomal RNA", at positions 569 to 1050 of the family's 1831-position model. The record is from RNAcentral. Lineage: Eukaryota; Fungi; Glomeromycota; Glomeromycetes; Diversisporales; Acaulosporaceae.